Molecule: microRNA precursor, 106 nt
Filed under: Olea europaea subsp. europaea
Lineage: Eukaryota; Viridiplantae; Streptophyta; Magnoliopsida; Lamiales; Oleaceae
Source: RNAcentral
UGGGGGUGGGGGUGGGGGAGGGGGCUACUUUUGAUCUCUCAAAGUUUGGGGAUAAAAUAAGAACCAAACCAACCCCCCCCCCCCCCCCCCCCCCCCACAAAAAAAA